This 496-nucleotide ribosomal RNA is filed under the name uncultured bacterium. RNAcentral describes it as "partial 16S ribosomal RNA". It matches the Rfam family "Bacterial small subunit ribosomal RNA", at positions 28 to 507 of the family's 1533-position model. The record is from RNAcentral.
GAUGAACGCUGGCGGCGUGCCUAAUACAUGCAAGUCGAGCGAACAGAUGAGGAGCUUGCUCCUCUGACGUUAGCGGCGGACGGGUGAGUAACACGUGGAUAACCUACCUAUAAGACUGGGAUAACUUCGGGAAACCGGAGCUAAUACCGGAUAAUAUAUUGAACCGCAUGGUUCAAUAGUGAAAGACGGUUUUGCUGUCACUUAUAGAUGGAUCCGCGCCGCAUUAGCUAGUUGGUAAGGUAACGGCUUACCAAGGCAACGAUGCGUAGCCGACCUGAGAGGGUGAUCGGCCACACUGGAACUGAGACACGGUCCAGACUCCUACGGGAGGCAGCAGUAGGGAAUCUUCCGCAAUGGGCGAAAGCCUGACGGAGAACGCCGCGUGAGUGAUGAAGGUCUUCGGAUCGUAAAACUCUGUUAUUAGGGAAGAACAAAUGUGUAAGUAACUAUGCACGUCCUGACGGUACCUAAUCAGAAAGCCACGGCUAACUACGUG